Molecule: ribosomal RNA, 1394 nt
Filed under: uncultured bacterium
Lineage: Bacteria
Description: bacterial SSU rRNA
Rfam family: Bacterial small subunit ribosomal RNA
Source: RNAcentral
AGAGUUUGAUCCUGGCUCAGGACGAACGCUGGCGGCGUGCCUAACACAUGCAAGUCGAACGAAGCAUUUGAUUGGAUCUCUUCGGAGUGAAGCUCUUAUGACUUAGUGGCGGACGGGUGAGUAACGCGUGAGUAACCUGCCUUUCAGAGGGGGAUAACAGUUGGAAACGACUGCUAAUACCGCAUAAUGUGACGGAAUCGCAUGAUUCUGUUACCAAAGCUGAGGCGCUGAAAGAUGGACUCGCGUCUGAUUAGAUAGUUGGUGAGGUAACGGCUCACCAAGUCGACGAUCAGUAGCCGGACUGAGAGGUUGAACGGCCACAUUGGGACUGAGACACGGCCCAGACUCCUACGGGAGGCAGCAGUGGGGGAUAUUGCACAAUGGGCGAAAGCCUGAUGCAGCAACGCCGCGUGAGGGAAGACGGUCUUCGGAUUGUAAACCUCUGUCUUUGGUGAAGAAGAAAGUGACGGUAGCCAAGGAGGAAGCCACGGCUAACUACGUGCCAGCAGCCGCGGUAAUACGUAAGUUGCGAGCGUUGUUCGGAAUCAUUGGGCGUAAAGGGCAUGUAGGCGGAUCUGCAAGCCUGAUGUGAAAUCCACGGGCUCAACCCGUGAACUGCAUUGGGAACUACAGAACUAGAGUCGCUGAAGCGAAACCGGAAUUCCUAGUGUAGCGGUGAAAUGCGUAGAUAUUAGGAGGAACACCAGUGGCGAAGGCGACUUACUGGACCGUAACUGACGCUGAGGCGCGAAAGCGUGGGUUGCAAACAGGAUUAGAUACCCUGGUAGUCCACGCCGUAAACGAUGGAUACUAGGUGUAGGAGGUAUCGACUCCUUCUGUGCCGGAGUUAACACAAUAAGUAUCCCACCUGGGGAGUACGAUCGCAAGAUUGAAACUCAAAGGAAUUGACGGGGGCCCGCACAAGCAGUGGAGUAUGUGGUUUAAUUCGAAGCAACGCGAAGAACCUUACCAGGACUUGACAUCCCGGUGACCGCUCUGGAGACAGAGUUUCCCUUCGGGGCACCGGUGACAGGUGGUGCAUGGUUGUCGUCAGCUCGUGUCGUGAGAUGUUGGGUUAAGUCCCGCAACGAGCGCAACCCCUAUUGUUAGUUGCCAGCGAGUAGAGUCGGGCACUCUAGCGAGACUGCCGGCGAUAAGUCGGAGGAAGGUGGGGACGACGUCAAAUCAUCAUGCCCCUUAUGUCCUGGGCUACACACGUACUACAAUGGCUGAAACAGAGGGAAGCGAAGCAGUGAUGUGGAGCAAAUCCCCAAAUACAGUCCCAGUUCAGAUUGCAGGCUGCAACUCGCCUGCAUGAAGGCGGAAUUGCUAGUAAUCGCGAAUCAGAAUGUCGCGGUGAAUACGUUCCCGGGCCUUGUACUCACCGCCCGUCA